Molecule: ribosomal RNA, 499 nt
Filed under: uncultured bacterium
Lineage: Bacteria
Description: partial 16S ribosomal RNA
Rfam family: Bacterial small subunit ribosomal RNA
Source: RNAcentral
GAUGAACGCUGGCGGCGUGCCUAAUACAUGCAAGUCGAGCGAACAGACGAGAGUGCUUGCACUCUCUGACGUUAGCGGCGGACGGGUGAGUAACACGUGGGUAACCUACCUAUAAGACUGGGAUAACUUCGGGAAACCGGAGCUAAUACCGGAUAAUAUUUAGCUUCGCAUGAAGCAAUAGUGAAAGACGGUUCUGCUGUCACUUAUAGAUGGACCCGCGGUGUAUUAGCUAGUUGGUGAGGUAACGGCUCACCAAGGCAACGAUACAUAGCCGACCUGAGAGGGGGAUCGGGCACACUGGGACUGGGACACGGCCCAGACUACUACGGGAGGCAGCAGUAGGGAAACUUCCGCAAUGGACGAAAGUAUGACGGAGCAAUGCCGCGUGAGUGAAGAAGGUUUUCGGAUCGUAAAACUCUGUUGUAAGGGAAGAACAAGUACGUUAGUAACUGAACGUACCUUGACGGUACCUUACCAGAAAGCCACGGCUAACUACGUG